RNAcentral lists this ribosomal RNA (253 nucleotides) under uncultured bacterium. RNAcentral's name for it is "partial 16S ribosomal RNA". It matches the Rfam family "Bacterial small subunit ribosomal RNA", at positions 524 to 776 of the family's 1533-position model. The record is from RNAcentral.
UACGUAGGGUGCAAGCGUUGUCCGGAAUUACUGGGCGUAAAGCGUGCGCAGGCGGUUUUGUAAGCCAGAUGUGAAAUCCCCGGGCUUAACCUGGGAAUGGCAUUUGGGACUGCAAGGCUUGAGUGCGGCAGAGGAGACUGGAAUUCCUGGUGUAGCAGUGAAAUGCGUAGAUAUCAGGAGGAACACCGAUGGCGAAGGCAGGUCUCUGGGCUGACACUGACGCUCAUGCACGAAAGCGUGGGGAGCAAACAGG